ACAAAGAGACGAUCUAGACCGAAAGAGAGAAAAGACAUUAGGAGCACUCAUUCCUUGUACCCGGGGAACUGAUUCAUAAGGAAGGGGAUCUACACCAGAAAAGGAGUUUACGGCCGGUUCCCAUAUAGACACUUUAACUCACAUUGCUUUAGGCAGUACUCUUCUUACUAAAGAAGAAGACUUACUGAAAGAGGGAGCAAAUCCGUCACUGGACGAGGA
RNAcentral lists this long non-coding RNA (219 nucleotides) under Nicotiana benthamiana. RNAcentral's name for it is "long non-coding RNA (NBEN_LNC033758)". The record is from RNAcentral. Lineage: Eukaryota; Viridiplantae; Streptophyta; Magnoliopsida; Solanales; Solanaceae.